UAGGGAAUCUUCCGCAAUGGGCGAAAGCCUGACGGAGCAACGCCGCGUGAGUGAUGAAGGUCUUCGGAUCGUAAAACUCUGUUAUUAGGGAAGAACAAAUGUGUAAGUAACUAUGCACGUCUUGACGGUACCUAAUCAGAAAGCCACGGCUAACUACGUGCCAGCAGCCGCGGUAAUACGUAGGUGGCAAGCGUUAUCCGGAAUUAUUGGGCGUAAUGCGCGCGUAGGCGGUUUUUUAAGUCUGAUGUGAAAGCCCACGGCUCAACCGUGGAGGGUCAUUGGAAACUGGAAAACUUGAGUGCAGAAGAGGAAAGUGGAAUUCCAUGUGUAGCGGUGAAAUGCGCAGAGAUAUGGAGGAACACCAGUGGCGAAGGCGACUUUCUGGUCUGUAACUGACGCUGAUGUGCGAAAGCGUGGGGAUCAAACAGG
This 429-nucleotide ribosomal RNA is filed under the name Actinomycetes bacterium. RNAcentral describes it as "Actinobacteria bacterium partial 16S ribosomal RNA". It matches the Rfam family "Bacterial small subunit ribosomal RNA", at positions 355 to 776 of the family's 1533-position model. The record is from RNAcentral. Lineage: Bacteria; Bacillati; Actinomycetota; Actinomycetes.